RNA transcript from Magnolia sinica, 769 nucleotides. RefSeq lists it as uncharacterized. The record is from RefSeq and is a predicted model, not a curated record. The transcript has 4 exons. Lineage: Eukaryota; Viridiplantae; Streptophyta; Magnoliopsida; Magnoliales; Magnoliaceae.
UCCGCUCAUGUUAUUGAAAUGAUCGAGGAGUUACGGGCAACUCAGACUACUGAGUCCUCUCAGAGUAGUACUGCCCGAGACGAUCUCUUAUCCCAGAUAUUGGGACCAGAAAAUCUAGGUCAGGUUCGCAUGAUGGGGUUAGGUCCCACAGCUUCCACGUUAUGGGGCACGAGAAAUACCAUUGCAGAACUCAGGAGGGAGACUGAUGAGUUGCGACGACACAUGAAUGAGCGGGUAGAGCAACUGGUGGAGGAGCGGAUGAAAGAACAGAUGGCUAAGCAUCUAGAGCAGAUGGAGCAACGGAUGACAGAGCGAAUAACGGAGCAGAUGAUGGCACGAAUGAGAGAUACUAUGAACUCAUUGGAUCUAACGGACCAAACUUCGGGCAAUGUACUAAAUGUAGAGGCUAACUCAGUAUCCACUCCUAGGGAUGGACCUGAGGCUGAGGGACCUUGGUCGAAGGUUCCGAAGAAUCAAUAGGUCAAGUCGUAUUUAUGUGUAUUUAUGUGUUUGACAUGCGAAAGAAUCCAAGAGCUGUCUUGAAAUGAGGGUUGCAAAUUGGAAAAAGGCGAUUCCCUGCUCUUGCUUUUUGUUAAACUGCAACUAAAGUUCUUGUCUUGAUGAUGGUUUCAAAAACAGGCGAUGCCAAGAACAACCACCUAGUGACUUCUCUAUUGCUCAGUUCCGGUUUCUGGAGCGACUACUUGUCGUCCAUGGGCACCGAUGCUAUAAGAGGAUUACCCAAAUGGUAAGAACUACAAAAUACCUU